This is a long non-coding RNA of Cyprinus carpio (common carp), 1176 nucleotides long. The record is from Ensembl. NCBI's taxonomy places the organism in Eukaryota, Metazoa, Chordata, Actinopteri, Cypriniformes, Cyprinidae.
AUGCCCUGUGCCUUCUUCUUGAGAAAAUUAUCCCCGGCCGAGAAAAAUUAUGAUAUUGGCAAUCAAGAACUCCUUGCAGUGAAACUUGCUCUGGAAGAAUGGAGGCACUGGUUAGAGGGAGCCAGGCAACCAUUUCUCGUGCUUACAGACCACAAAAACCUUCAGUACCUAAGGGAAGCAAAGAGACUCAAUCCUCGCCAGGCUCGGUGGGCCCUGUUCUUUACCCGGUUUCACUUCAAAAUAUCCUACCGCCCCGGAUCCAAGAACACCAGAGCCGAUACAUUGUCACGCCUCCACACCCAUGAAGAAGUCCCGGAAGAGCCAGAACCCAUCAUCCCCACUCGGCUCUUUGUCAAUCCCAUACAAUGGGAUCUAGAUGAACUGCUUCUAGAACAAUCACGACACCGGCCUGUUCCACCCACGUGUCCCGCUGGUAAGAUCUACGUACCUGAAGAUCACCGUACGUCCCUCAUCUCCUCUGCUCACGCAUCUGUGGGAACAGGUCAUCCCGGAGUCAGCAAGACACUCACCGCUCUUCAGCGUAAAUACUGGUGGCCUCGAAUGCAAGAGGAUAUCAAGGAAUUUAUCCAAGGCUGUGCCCUUUGCACCAUGACCAAAGUACCUCGACACUUAUCUACCGGAAAACUACUCCCAUUACCGAUUCCCCAUCGUCCAUGGUCCCACAUUGGAGUGGAUUUCGUCACCGACCUCCCAGCUUCUGAUGGUAAUACCUGCAUCCUUGUAGCCAUAGAUAGAUUCUCAAAAGGAUGUAGACUGAUUCCCCUGAAGGGCCUACCCACAGCCUUUGAAACAGCAGAACUUCUGUUUAACCCUCUGGAGUCGAUUAACGCGUAUACGCGUUUUGGGGUAUUUUCUCCUGAUAACCCCGAAAAGAACUUAAAUUACACUUUCAGUUUUGAUCGUACAGAUAAGUGCAAUACAUCAAUCGAAUCUGUAAAGGGUCUACUUUUUUUUGUAUACAGACAUAAUAACAACAAAACUUUGUGCACUUAUAAAAUAAAGAUAACAAACAAGGAGUGCUGUCUGCAGCCUUUGUCUGCGCUGAUCUUCAGAUACAAAUGCGUCAUUAAAAUGAACUGUAACUCAGUGAAUACUCAACGAAGAGACAUGAGAGAGAUAUCUAUAGAAAGCCUGACAUGUCUACUUUUAAACUAA